This 523-nucleotide ribosomal RNA is filed under the name Melyris nigripes. Its description in RNAcentral is "partial 16S ribosomal RNA". It matches the Rfam family "Bacterial large subunit ribosomal RNA", at positions 1816 to 2610 of the family's 2925-position model. Lineage: Eukaryota; Metazoa; Arthropoda; Insecta; Coleoptera; Melyridae. The record is from RNAcentral.
CAUGUCCUUUUGAUUAUAAUUUAAGGUCUAAUCUGCCCACUGAGUAAUUAAAUGGCCGCAGUAUUUUGACUGUGCUAAGGUAGCAUAAUAAAUAGUUUUUUAAUUGAAAGCUGGAAUGAAUGAUUGGAUAAGACAAGUUCUGUCUCAAGAUUAAUUUUAAUGAAAUUUAUUUUUAAGUUAAAAAGCUUAAAUUUAGUUGAAAGACGAGAAGACCCUAUAGAGUUUAAUUUAAAAUUUUAUUUAAUUAAAAAUUUUUUUAUUUAUUGGAUAAGGUUUUAAAUUUUGUUGGGGUGACCGAGAAAUUAAUUUAACUUUCUUUUUUUUUUUCAUUGAUUUAUGUUUUUUUGAUCCAUUAAUAAUGAUUAAAAGAAUAAAUUACCUUAGGGAUAACAGCGUAAUUUUUUUAAAGAGUUCUAAUCGAAAAAAGAGAUUGCGACCUCGAUGUUGGAUUAAGGUUAGACUUUGGUGCAGAAGCUAAAGUGUCUGAGUCUGUUCGACUUUUAAAACCUUACAUGAUCUGAGU